GACGAACGCUGGCGGCGUGCUUAACACAUGCAAGUCGAACGGAAAGGCCCUGCUUUUGUGGGGUGCUCGAGUGGCGAACGGGUGAGUAACACGUGAGUAACCUGCCCUAGACUUUGGGGUAACUUCAGGAAACUGGGGCUAAUACAGGACAGGAGCUCCUGCUGCAUGGUGGGCGUUGGAACGUUUCGGCGGUUGGGGAUGGACUGGCGGCUUAUCAGCUUGUUGGUGGGGUAGUGGCUUACCAAGGCUGUGACGGGUAGCCGGCCUGAGAGGGUGACCGGCCACAUUGGGACUGAGAUACGGCCCAGACUCCUACGGGAGGCAGCAGUGGGGAGUAUUGCACAAUGGGCGGAAGCCUGAUGCAGCAACGCCGCGUGCGGGAUGACGGCCUUCGGGUUGUAAACCGCUUUCGCCUGUGACGAAGCGUGAGUGACGGUAAUGGGUAAAGAAGCACCGGCUAACUACGUG
RNAcentral lists this ribosomal RNA (468 nucleotides) under uncultured bacterium. RNAcentral describes it as "partial 16S ribosomal RNA". It matches the Rfam family "Bacterial small subunit ribosomal RNA", at positions 28 to 507 of the family's 1533-position model. The record is from RNAcentral.